UCCGGCCCCCUGCGCUCUGACCUCCUUUUUCUCCACCUCCUUUACGGCUUUACCAUCACCUCAUCCACCUCGUUCCCCUCCAAUGCCGGCUCCUCCGAACUCCCCACCCCAUUCUGCCCCAAAAACCCCUCCGACUCCCGCACAAGCCCUUCUCCUCCCUUGACUGACAAGCUCACCAACAAAAACUGGCUCCCAUCCACCCUCCCACGCUAGCACACCCCCAGAACGAAGGAAUCAAAGAACUAGGAAGAUUGAAGAAUGAAGAAGCUAGAAGCAAAUGAGGUCUAAGGAGGAAAGAGGAAUAGCCGUGCUGGAAUUUGGGAACUGGGAAGUUGGAAUUGGGACAAAGAGGCAAGGAGACGUCAAGGACAAGAGGAAUAGCUCGUAGCCGAAUGCCAUAGGUGAUAGGUUCAUAGGUUUACGCCUUACCUUACCAGCUUUACAGCCAUGGCGUCAAUGGCGAUGGGAUUGGGACAGGCUACAGUUGACAACCAUUCUCAGCGAUAGGCCGAGGCCUUUUUUGGGGCCGGGGCCUUAGGCGACCGCCUAGGUCGCCUAACGGUCGGGCCGGCCCUG
Molecule: long non-coding RNA, 576 nt
Filed under: Phoenix dactylifera (date palm)
Lineage: Eukaryota; Viridiplantae; Streptophyta; Magnoliopsida; Arecales; Arecaceae
Description: long non-coding RNA (PDAC_LNC021385)
Source: RNAcentral